UACGGAGGGUGCAAGCGUUGUCCGGAUUUACUGGGCGUAAAGGGCGCGUAGGCGGUUCGUUAAGUCGGAUGUGAAAACUCUGGGCUCAACCCAGAGCCUGCAUCCGAUACUGGCGGGCUAGAGUGCGAGAGGGGAAAGCGGAAUUCCUGGUGUAGCGGUGAAAUGCGUAGAUAUCAGGAGGAACACCGGCGGCGAAGGCGGCUUUCUGGAUCGCAACUGACGCUGAGGCGCGAAAGCGUGGGGAGCAAACAGG
This 253-nucleotide unclassified non-coding RNA is filed under the name uncultured Acidobacteriota bacterium. RNAcentral's name for it is "uncultured Acidobacteria bacterium contains 16S-23S intergenic spacer region". It matches the Rfam family "Bacterial small subunit ribosomal RNA", at positions 524 to 776 of the family's 1533-position model. The record is from RNAcentral. Lineage: Bacteria; Pseudomonadati; Acidobacteriota.